ACUCCUACGGGAGGCAGCAGUAGGGAAUCUUCCACAAUGGGCGCAAGCCUGAUGGAGCAACACCGCGUGAGUGAAGAAGGGUUUCGGCUCGUAAAGCUCUGUUGUUAAAGAAGAACACGUAUGAGAGUAACUGUUCAUACGUUGACGGUAUUUAACCAGAAAGUCACGGCUAACUACGUGCCAGCAGCCGCGGUAAUACGUAGGUGGCAGGCGUUAUCCGGAUUUAUUGGGCGUAAAGAGAGUGCAGGCGGUUUUCUAAGUCUGAUGUGAAAGCCUUCGGCUUAACCGGAGAAGUGCAUCGGAAACUGGAUAACUUGAGUGCAGAAGAGGGUAGUGGAACUCCAUGUGUAGCGGUGGAAUGCGUAGAUAUAUGGAAGAACACCAGUGGCGAAGGCGGCUACCUGGUCUGCAACUGACGCUGAGACUCGAAAGCAUGGGUAGCGAACAGGAUUAGAUACCCUGGUAGGAUACCG
RNAcentral lists this ribosomal RNA (473 nucleotides) under uncultured bacterium. Its description in RNAcentral is "bacterial SSU rRNA". It matches the Rfam family "Bacterial small subunit ribosomal RNA", at positions 335 to 797 of the family's 1533-position model. The record is from RNAcentral.